Bradysia coprophila is the source of this 191-nucleotide long non-coding RNA. Lineage: Eukaryota; Metazoa; Arthropoda; Insecta; Diptera; Sciaridae. The record is from RefSeq and is a predicted model, not a curated record.
AUCUUAGAGAAUUCGUCCUUUUACGAAAUGUACUUUGUUCGAUCUUAAGGAAUUCAUCCUAUUGAGAAACGUAAUGUAAAGGCGGAUUGUUCGAUACCUUUACGUUACAUUUCGUAAAAGAAUGAAUUCCUAAGGAUGGAACAAUCCGCCUUUACGUUAUAUUUCGCAAAAGGACGAAUUCCUUAAGAUAA